GCGUUAAUAGUGUAGUGGUAACACACAACCCUUCCAAGGUUGAACUGGGGGUUCGAUUCCCUCUUAACGCA
This 71-nucleotide transfer RNA is filed under the name Alphaproteobacteria bacterium. RNAcentral's name for it is "tRNA-Gly". It matches the Rfam family "tRNA". From Rfam's summary of the family: Transfer RNA (tRNA) molecules are approximately 80 nucleotides in length. Their secondary structure includes four short double-helical elements and three loops (D, anti-codon, and T loops). Further hydrogen bonds mediate the characteristic L-shaped molecular structure. tRNAs have two regions of fundamental functional importance: the anti-codon, which is responsible for specific mRNA codon recognition, and the 3' end, to which the tRNAs corresponding amino acid is attached (by aminoacyl-tRNA synthetases). tRNAs cope with the degeneracy of the genetic code in two manners: having more than one tRNA (with a specific anti-codon) for a particular amino acid; and 'wobble' base-pairing, i.e. permitting non-standard base-pairing at the 3rd anti-codon position. The record is from RNAcentral. Lineage: Bacteria; Pseudomonadati; Pseudomonadota; Alphaproteobacteria.